UUUUUUUUUUUUGGUUAACAUUCCAAAUAUGUAUAACCAAUGAACUUGGCCUAGGUUUGUUUUUUUUUUAUUGGUAUUCACUUCAGAAACUUGAAUCCACAGAUAUAAGCAGUAUAUUACCAGAAAGUUACAAGUAAACACAGAUUAUACAUGCAAAUUUCUGUUCACAAAGG
Long non-coding RNA from Neofelis nebulosa (Clouded leopard), 173 nucleotides. RefSeq lists it as uncharacterized. The record is from RefSeq and is a predicted model, not a curated record. The transcript is spliced from 2 exons. NCBI's taxonomy places the organism in Eukaryota, Metazoa, Chordata, Mammalia, Carnivora, Felidae.